RNAcentral lists this small nucleolar RNA (72 nucleotides) under Macaca fascicularis (crab-eating macaque). Its description in RNAcentral is "Small nucleolar RNA SNORD113/SNORD114 family (ENSMFAG00000061743.1)". It matches the Rfam family "Small nucleolar RNA SNORD113/SNORD114 family". From Rfam's summary of the family: The imprinted human domain at 14q32 contains two clusters of tandemly repeated small nucleolar RNAs named 14q(I) and 14q(II) snoRNAs. These two clusters are named SNORD113 and SNORD114 respectively in the HGNC approved gene symbol nomenclature. Lineage: Eukaryota; Metazoa; Chordata; Mammalia; Primates; Cercopithecidae. The record is from Rfam by way of RNAcentral.
UGGGUUGAUGAUGACUACUGGUGGUGUGUGAGUCAUCUACAAUGAAUAUGUCUCUGGAACUCUGAGGUGUGU